GAUGAACGCUGGCGGCGUGCCUAAUACAUGCAAGUCGAGCGAACAGACGAGGAGCUUGCUCCUCUGACGUUAGCGGCGGACGGGUGAGUAACACGUGGAUAACCUACCUAUAAGACUGGGAUAACUUCGGGAAACCGGAGCUAAUACCAGAUAACAUGUUGAACCGCAUGGUUCAACAGUGAAAGACGGUCUUGCUGUCACUUAUAGAUGGAUCCGCGCAGCAUUAGCUAGUUGGUAAGGUAACGGCUUACCAAGGCAACGAUGCGUAGCCGACCUGAGAGGGUGAUCGGCCACACUGGAACUGAGACAUGGUCCAGACUCCUACGGGAGGCAGCAGUAGGGAAUCUUCCGCAAUGGGCGAAAGCCUGACGGAGCAACGCCGCGUGAGUGAUGAAGGUCUUCGGAUCGUAAAACUCUGUUAUUAGGGAAGAACAAAUGUGUAAGUAACUAUGCACGUCUUGACGGUACCUAAUCAGAAAGCCACGGCUAACUACGUGCCAGCCGCCGCCGUAA
This 513-nucleotide ribosomal RNA is filed under the name uncultured bacterium. RNAcentral describes it as "partial 16S ribosomal RNA". It matches the Rfam family "Bacterial small subunit ribosomal RNA", at positions 28 to 523 of the family's 1533-position model. The record is from RNAcentral.